Homo sapiens (human) is the source of this 933-nucleotide long non-coding RNA. The record is from Ensembl. NCBI's taxonomy places the organism in Eukaryota, Metazoa, Chordata, Mammalia, Primates, Hominidae.
AAAAUAGCAGAAGGAAAAGAAGGAAGAGGCAAUGUCACACUUCUGCUAAGAAGAGAGUUAUGGCAAGUACAAGUUGCUGAGAAAGAAGCAAACUGCUCAUUUGGAUGAAGGAAAUUAAUUCUUUGAAGCCAUCAAAGAUUCCUGCAGCUUUGAGAAUAGUUUGGAAAUAUUAUUCUUGCCUCCUAUGGUCAUCCUGUUAUUCAUCAGCAGAUGCUACUGAUCCAACAGCUUCCCAGCUAAGAUGGAAGGAUGAGAGAGGCCCUAAGGUAACUUCUGAGGGCAUGGGACUUGGCGGUAAAAACAGAGAAGGUGCUGUGGACCCCAUUUUCGGAAGAAAACUGUUUUCCUCACAGAAUCCCAGGAAUUGAAAGCUGAUGGAUACCUCUCAAAAUCUGUUUUUGUCUUCUGGCUAUGCCUGUUUAUUAGGCUGUAGAAAUUGCAUGCUCUCCUAGCGGUGCUUUUGAAAGCCUCCAUCCUGAGGCCAAUAAUCCAAUUAUGAGAUUGGCAAAUGAAAAAUCUUACAAUUACUGUAUCUUCUUCUAUCUGUCUGUAUAGUUAUAUAUGUGUUAUAUGUGUGAUAUUUAUAAAAAAGAGCUCUAAUUGAUUAGCCUAAAGAAAAACAAGUGCUUAGACCAAAUAUUUUGAAGGAAAAAUAAAAGCUGUAAUGCCUUUUAGUUCACGUGACUUUAAUCUUUGAGAAAUAAAAACAGUUUUAAAGAUAAUUGGUAAAAUACAAAUGUCUUCAGAAUGUAAACAAGUGGUCUAAAUUAUGUGGGUUAGAUACUAGGUUUGCGAAAUGUUUUAAGGUUAUAAACUACUUCUUUGUUAUUUGAGAACUUUUUGACCUGCCUGCUUUACAAUUUGGUAAGGCUGAGGACAUAUGGAAUUAACCACACCCUUAACUAUACUGGAAAGAGUCAGAUCUUAUCUGUG